AUUGAACGCUGGCGGCAGGCCUAACACAUGCAAGUCGAACGAGUGGCGGACGGGUGAGUAAUGUCUGGGAAACUGCCUGAUGGAGGGGGAUAACUACUGGAAACGGUAGCUAAUAACGCAUACCAUCGGAUGUGCCCCGAUGGGAUUAGCUAGUAGGUGGGGUAACGGGUCACCUAGGCGACGAUCCCUAGCGGGUUUGAGAGGAUGACCAGCAACACUGGAACUGAGACACGGUCCAGAGUCCGAGGGGAGGCAGCAGUGGGGAAUAGUGCACAAUGGGCGCAAGCCGGAUGCAGCCAUGCCGCGUGUAGGAAGAAGGCCUUCGGGUUGUAAAGUACUUUCAGCGGGGAGGCGUUACCCGCAGAAGAAGCACCGGCUAACUCCGUGCCAGCAGCCGCGGUAAUUC
This 406-nucleotide ribosomal RNA is filed under the name uncultured bacterium. RNAcentral's name for it is "partial 16S ribosomal RNA". It matches the Rfam family "Bacterial small subunit ribosomal RNA", at positions 29 to 526 of the family's 1533-position model. The record is from RNAcentral.